CUGACCUCAAAUCAGGUAGGACUACCCGCUGAACUUAAGCAUAUCAAUAAGCGGAGGAAAAGAAACUAACAAGGAUUCCCCUAGUAACUGCGAGUGAAGCGGGAAAAGCUCAAAUUUAAAAUCUGGCGGUCUUUGGCCGUCCGAGUUGUAGUCUGGAGAAGUGCUUUCCGCGCUGGACCGUGUAUAAGUCUCUUGGAACAGAGCGUCAUAUAGGGUGAGAAUCCCGUCUUUGACACGGACUACCAGUGCUUUGUGAUGCGCUCUCGAAGAGUCGAGUUGUUUGGGAAUGCAGCUCAAAAUGGGUGGUAAAUUCCAUCUAAAGCUAAAUAUUGGCGAGAGACCGAUAGCGAACAAGUACCGUGAGGGAAAGAUGAAAAGCACUUUGGAAAGAGAGUUAAACAGUACGUGAAAUUGCUGAAAGGGAAACGCUUGAAGUCAGUCGCGUCUGCCGGAACUCAGCCUUGCUUUUGCUUGGUGCAUUUUCCGGUAGACGGGCCAGCAUCGAUUUUGACCGUCGGAUAAGGGCCAGGGAAAUGUGCCACCCUCG
RNAcentral lists this ribosomal RNA (547 nucleotides) under Coriolopsis sp. HMA-30. Its description in RNAcentral is "eukaryotic LSU rRNA". It matches the Rfam family "Eukaryotic large subunit ribosomal RNA", at positions 1 to 547 of the family's 3401-position model. The record is from RNAcentral. Lineage: Eukaryota; Fungi; Basidiomycota; Agaricomycetes; Polyporales; Polyporaceae.